RNAcentral lists this ribosomal RNA (452 nucleotides) under uncultured Bifidobacterium sp. RNAcentral describes it as "bacterial SSU rRNA". It matches the Rfam family "Bacterial small subunit ribosomal RNA", at positions 173 to 640 of the family's 1533-position model. Lineage: Bacteria; Bacillati; Actinomycetota; Actinomycetes; Bifidobacteriales; Bifidobacteriaceae. The record is from RNAcentral.
CUCCGACUCCUCGCAUGGGGUGUCGGGAAAGAUUAUAUCGGUAUGGGAUGGGGUCGCGUCCUAUCAGGUAGUCGGCGGGGUAACGGCCCACCGAGCCUACGACGGGUAGCCGGCCUGAGAGGGCGACCGGCCACAUUGGGACUGAGAUACGGCCCAGACUCCUACGGGAGGCAGCAGUGGGGAAUAUUGCACAAUGGGCGCAAGCCUGAUGCAGCGACGCCGCGUGCGGGAUGACGGCCUUCGGGUUGUAAACCGCUUUUGAUCGGGAGCAAGCCUUCGGGUGAGUGUACCUUUCGAAUAAGCACCGGCUAACUACGUGCCAGCAGCCGCGGUAAUACGUAGGGUGCAAGCGUUAUCCGGAAUUAUUGGGCGUAAAGGGCUCGUAGGCGGUUCGUCGCGUCCGGUGUGAAAGUCCAUCGCUUAACGGUGGAUCUGCGCCGGGUACGGGCGGG